AACGAACGCUGGCGGCAGGCUUAACACAUGCAAGUCGAACGAUGAAGCUAGAGCUUGCUCUGGUGAAUUAGUGGCGAACGGGUGAGUAACACGUGAGUAACCUGCCCCGAACUCUGGGAUAACUGCUGGAAACGGUAGCUAAUACUGGAUACGACCUACGAAGGCAUCUUCUGUAGGUGGAAAGAAUUUCGGUUCGGGAUGGACUCGCGGCCUAUCAGCUUGUUGGUGAGGUAAUGGCUCACCAAGGCGACGACGGGUAGCCGGCCUGAGAGGGUGACCGGCCACACUGGGACUGAGACACGGCCCAGACUCCUACGGGAGGCAGCAGUGGGGAAUAUUGCACAAUGGGCGCAAGCCUGAUGCAGCGACGCCGCGUGAGGGAUGACGGCCUUCGGGUUGUAAACCUCUUUCAGCACCGACGAAGCGCAAGUGACGGUAGGUGCAGAAGAAGGACCGGCCAACUACGUGCCAGCCGCCGCAGUAA
Molecule: ribosomal RNA, 484 nt
Filed under: uncultured bacterium
Lineage: Bacteria
Description: partial 16S ribosomal RNA
Rfam family: Bacterial small subunit ribosomal RNA
Source: RNAcentral